This 5470-nucleotide small RNA is filed under the name Rattus norvegicus (Norway rat). RNAcentral's name for it is "RGD1561251". The record is from RNAcentral. Lineage: Eukaryota; Metazoa; Chordata; Mammalia; Rodentia; Muridae.
GAAGCACACCUCUCUGAUACCUAGGGAAGUGUCAGGGUUGGCCAAGAGGCAGACAUGUUGAACAAGGAGAAACAGCCUCUUCUGAAGAAAUAGAAAGCUGAUUGGGACAUAAAAGAACUAUAAACAAUAUGGAGGCUUAACGACAACUCCAGCAGGAGUGAUGGUCUCCAACAAAAGGACAAGAAGGAAGCAGAGUGGAGACUGCAGUCAAGUGAGAAGAAAGGGAGCAGGUCUGAUGGCUUAAAAAGGCUUCUUUGAAGGGAGGGCACACAACUUACUUCUCUGUUCCCUUAAGGGAGUGGUCGCUAGCCAGGGAAAGGAGGCAAAACUGUUUGAGGAAAAGAAAUGUUGACUUAGAGGUAUGAGCUUGAGUUUUUAUUUACUGUUAAAAAAAUUAAAUCACAUUUCACUUCAUUGUACCACUGGUCUCCAUGGCUGACGUUAUACAUUUCAUGUUUCGAGGCUGAGCUGAAAGUGAAUGGGGGCUCCGGCUUAAUAAGGGAAGAGCCACUCCUGACUCACGUUGGCAGCAGAAAUUGAACCACUUUUUCGCCUGAUUCAAUUGUUUCUCAGAGAAGGAAAACAGUGUUGUUGAUUGAUCAUGGUGAUGAUAAAUAGUGUGAUGGUGAUGAUGGUGGUGGUGGUGAUGGCGGCGAUGAUGAUUAACCUAUAUUGUUGCUUUAUCUUGUUCCAAGAACUGUUCUAUAUGCUUUAGAAUAAAAUAUCCCACUUAGUCAUUAUACCAUAGAUUUGGCCCUCCAGUUUUAAGUCAGGAAACUGAGGUUCAGCAAGGUUAAGUAGCUUAGAAUCAUAACCUUAGAUUCUAUGAGUUUAAUAAUCUCUCCAUCUCCACAGGUCUCCAUGCACCGCAGUGGUUUCCUGGAAUAAAGCUGAGGAAAGGUGAUCUCACCCCCGUCUACAUGGAGGAAGUUGUGCGAGUAUGGGGCUUCCACGAGAUGUUUCUUCACUGAUGGAAGGGAUUUAAUGUGUGCUUCCCUGGGAUUGCCACAGCAAAGAAAUGAUUUUUACAAGACCUUGCUCAUGACCUGCCUCCUGUUAUCCAAUGUCUCCUCACCGAAUAUAAGAGCCUCCUCCUGAAUCUGUCAGAAGGAUCUUGGAAGGAAAGGAUGAGAGAGAAAAACAGGCCUUCAGAGCUGGAGAACGGAUAUGAUUAUCUAUAACCCAGAUCAAGACCAGCUCCUCCAUUGAUUCUCAGCUUUGUGGAUAAGACUAAGUGAAGACAGUGCCCACUGAGCCCUGGGCCUGUGUUCCUGGGACUCUCGUUGCAGAACAGGUCCAUGACGGUGUUAGAACCUUCAGUGUCCCUGCCUUCCUGUAUCUUGGGUGUCCACAUUACCUGAUUGUUGAUGAACCUACAUGAUGAAGGUUGCUCAUGUUCUGGGUUUCCUGUUCCUGUCUUAGAGUCUCUCUGGGGUGACACCCUUGGCCAGAGAAGACAACACUGGCACUCUCCUGUCAGAGUCCGAAAGCUCAAGAUGUAGAUGCUGUUACCACCUUGCCUGGGGCUUCCUGCUACUUGGCUGUCUUGAGUCAACAAUAGCCAAGGGGACAGAAGAAAGAGAGAAAAGUUAUAUCUAUAUGUUUGAACAGUUUGAUCCCUAAUGGAAUGGACGCUGGAGAUGAGGCAAACACAGCCCAGAGAGAACCACCAUUGUGACGCAUUAGAGAAGCACCCAUGACGAUCAAUCACUGCUGAUGGCCUGGACCGCCAGCAUCAAUACUCUAGCACUCUGGAGACUUGGAAAGUAAAACAAAGGUUGCUUGAACGCAAACACUCUGCCACAGCGUUUUAUCUGAUAGUGGGGGUGCGCGCUCCACUCAGUGACUGACAGGCAAGUAACAUAUACAGUGUGCACACGUUGGAUGGAGGGACAUAUCCCACAACCGGAUGGAGCCAGUGAAUGAUACGAGGACAUGAUUGCCCUAAGGUAUGGCUGAGGAGAAGGUUUUAAUGUAGACGUGAGGCAGAGUACGGCCAGAGGCAUCUGGGAGAGUUCAGAUCAAACCAGGCCAUAAGAGGAAAAAACAAGGGGUGGAGGUGAGAGGGAAAAAGAAGAGUGGGGACAAUCAGACUAAGAGAACCAAGAGCAAGUCAAGAGAGACAGAACAACCAAGAGGGGCUGAAAUGCCAGGGUUCUAUAGGAGAGAGAAGCUGGCAGGGAAGGGAGUCAAGCCCCAGGACUAUAGAGGUUUAGGGUAGCGGUAUAGUGAGAAGAGCUGAGAAGAGCCAAGACUCUGUAACUGGGACUUACAAUACUGAGAGAACCCAGAGGUCAGCAUGUGCUUUGGUUUGCUGCCAUUUGUCCCUGAGUUUCUCUGGGACCUGACAGCCAGGUAGGCUGAGGUUUUAUUACACUACUCACCAUGAUGAACAAUUUAGAACUCAUCAAUUAUUCAUGUCUGGGAUUUUUCCAUUUAACAUUUUGUGCAGCAAGUUGUGUAGGUAAGUAAAUCAUGGACAACAGAACUCCGGAGGCUGCAGCGGGAGAACUCCUGAGUGCCUAUUAAAUGACUUGGUUCUGGUUCCAAUGGCGGAGGUUCUGAAGUGGGCACUGCCAGCACCUACUGAAUUCUUACCAGCUCCGAGCGACUCUAACGUGGGUGUUCUCAGAACCACAUUUUGAGAAACAGUCCUCCGUAUUGACAUAAUUGGCAGCAUCCUUCCUUUAAACACUUCCCUUUGGUUGCUAUGAUACACCCCUCCUCCCCAAGUUCUGUGGGCUCUCUAAUUCUGUUCUCCAUCUCCCACUUCCUCUCCAGCCUGUACCACUGUCCCCAGACUCUCUGCUCCUUCCUCCGCUGUCUGUCCCCUGGGGCAUGGCUCCAACUUGGGCAGAUGGUCCAACCUUGCCCUGGUGAGUGCCAGCCUCCUGGUGAGAUCCGUGGAUUUUGGAACAGAGUUGUACUUCAUUCAGCCUGGGUCCAGGACUUAGCUGUGAAGAAGGUGAUAUUGACGCUGCUGCUCCAAUCACCCCCACCCUGCUCUGGGCCUUUCCUCUUCCAUUAAGAUCUCCUGCUUUGCAGUUUUCUAAUCAAAUUAGUUCCGAGGGAAGAGCUGAUCUGUUUACACGGUCACACUAAUGUGCCAACUCUCCCAGUCACUGGCAUUUGCAAAGCCUUUUUCCGUCUUUGUGGUUUCAACCCUGUUAUUUCAGGCUUCCCUUAGCAGAUAGGGUGAUUCAGAAGGGCACGACCAAGGGAUAGGGCGAGCUGAUUUGAGAAGGGCUGGCUCUUCUCUUCUUCGACAUUUCUAGGAGCGUAGACUGAAAACUAGCCUGUCAAACGGCUGGGAGGGCAGGACUUGGACCUUCUAGGUCUUGGGCAAGGAUAAGCAAUAACUGCAGUCACAAUAGGCCAGACCCUAGAAGCACGGAGGAUAAGGACAGACUACAGAGCUGCAAUUGGGCUUACUUCCUGCCACGCCUACCCAUGGCCACGCCUACCCAUAGCCACUCCUACCCAUAUACUUCUAAGAGCUCCUCUUCACUGGUCAGGUCUCAUCUUAAAAGUUCUCUCUUGGGAAUAAAUAGCCUGACCUGGCCGCCAGGUUGUGGUCCCUUUUUGUGAUCCUGUGUUAGCAACCGCUUGCCUUUGUUGUAUUUAUCACAGGUUGUAAUUAUUUGAUUUCCUUCUUCCUGUCUCCUUCUGGAGUUAAGUAAGGCUCCAGGCGGGUGAGACCAGGCUGCCUCACACCCCUUCUAUGCAGGUUCAAAACAGAGAUCAACAGGAAGCCGGAAGGACAGCAUGAACAAGCCCUACCACCCUGCAGUCCCCGAGCUGAAGCAAACUGUCCUCAAUAGGCAUGUGGUGCAGAAAGGCAGAAAACUGACAGUAAUAUAAAUGAUUCUUGUAUGUAAAACUGCCAAUAGAUGUUUGCCCAGUAGAGGGGGCAAUUGGCGCUUUUCCUGCGACUAUCAAGAUCUGAAUGCGCCAUAGUUUUCCUGAGGUCCCGUGUGCUCUUAGAAUUCUCCUUUGAGCCAGUCAGAACAUCUUACUGACUGCCUCAUUAGUUGGUAAAAUAACAUCUCUGACAAUCUCUGACAUAUUAGUUUCAUAUUUGUACCUGAGUCAAAUGUUUAGCUUCUUAAAAAUAUUUUUUUCAUUCGAACUUCAUGGAAACCAAGUAUUUUGUGCAUCAAAAGAUACUAUCAGGAAAAUGAAAAGUCCCCCUACAAAUGGAGGAAAAAAAACCCAACCCACACACAAAUCACAUCUAGAGAAUAAAGAACUAAACUUCAGCAAUACCGACAGGAGCAGUGACAAACAAACACAAACAAAACAACAACAAUAACAAAACCAAUUAAAAAUGGUCAAAGGCUUCAAUUAGGCAGCUCUCUAAAGAAAAUACAAAAGCACAUGUGAAUGUCACCAGAGUUGUUAGGUCAAAGCCUGAGCUCUCCUGGCAUAGCGGAAGGACCACAGGACAAAGGCAAGCUGGCAGAGGAUAGACAAAGACUGUCCCCAUGUAACUUCACAUAACUAACAUCAGUCUGCAGAAAAGCCCUUGACAUAGGAGCCAGGUAGAUGGUUGCUGUGUAACCAUAAAGGUUACUCACCUUGUGACCCCGUGCUUUGGUUUGAUUUGUUUCCCCCUCACUACUCUAGCCACACCUAUGCGAAGGAGCAUUUUCCCUCCAGUCUGAUUCUGUCUCUAACCAUGUGUCCCCGGUGGACUCCUUUGACACAGUAUAAAAGCCUGAAAUUGGGUGCCCUCAGAACUCAGAUCUACAGUCUGGCAUGAAAAUUCUCUCUCUCUCUCUCUCUCUCUCUCUCUCUCUCUCUCUCUCUCUCUCUCUCUCCCCUUCCUUCCCUAUUCCUCCCUCCCUACUUCUCCAUCUGUCCUUGAUAAUUCUACUCCUAGAUGUAAAUACAGGAGACUGAAAGCAGGGAUUUGACAGAUGUUUGAGCAUGGCCAUAGCAGCAUUAGUAACAGCAGCCAAUGUUGAAGUAAUCUGAAGCCAGGUAAGCCAGGUAGAUAUCUAUGAUCUUAUUACGAAGCUGAGGUAGGACUAUCAAGAGUCAAGGCCAGCCUAGAGAUCCUGUCACACACACACACACACACACACACACACACACACACACACACACACACACACACACGGGGGGGGGCGCAUGAUAGAGAGAAUCAACCAGCAGAUAAUGAAUGAAUGAAUGAAAUAUUGCAUAUAAAUACAGUGGGGGAUGCUAUUCAACCACUUAGAGGAAUAAAAUGCCAAUAUAUGCUACAAAUGAAUGGACUUUGUGUUAAUUCGGGUUUCCAUUCUGUGAUGAAACAUCAUGACCAAAACCAGCUUGAGGUGGGAAGGGUUUAUUCUGUUUACACUUCCAGGUAACAGUCCAUCACUAAUGGGAGUCCGGGAGGUACCUUAAGGGCAGAUGCUGAAGGCGCAGGAGCUGAUGCAGAGGCCGUGAAGGGGGGCUUCUUACUGGCUUGUUCCUCAUGGCUUGC